Octodon degus (degu) is the source of this 1263-nucleotide long non-coding RNA. RefSeq lists it as uncharacterized. NCBI's taxonomy places the organism in Eukaryota, Metazoa, Chordata, Mammalia, Rodentia, Octodontidae. The record is from RefSeq and is a predicted model, not a curated record. The transcript has 5 exons.
AACCGAGGCGGACCGGGAGGCUGGAAGGGAGGGGACGCGGGGACCUUGACGGGCGCGCGCAUUAAAGAAACCCGCUGGUAGGGGCUGGGGACCAGCCGCGGGGGUGGGCUCCUCGUGCUGCAGCCCUGGACUUCACGCUCGUCUCAGAGAUUUUUGCAAAGUAGCCGCAGGGGCUGACGCUGUGACUCAGGAACCUGAACUCUGCUUGUGAUGCCCGCAUGCACCCAAGAAAAUGUCAAAGCUGUUUUUCAGCCCUUGUUCAUUGGCAGCUGAGAGGCAGGAUGCCGCAGUGUCAACGCCCAUCUUGUGGGAAGAACUGGAAGAGGUUUCACUGCUUGAUUGCUGAAGCUGGUUCCACAAACUUACCAGGAGGAUGCUGUAGAUAAGCUAUUUGUUGGUGCUGUCUGGAAUUCAUAUGCAAAUCAUGAUCAUUUGAAGAAGUAGCACCAUGAAAAAGAGAUCAAGCAUCAAGACUCCUAGGUGGCAGAAGUUUGUAUUCACUCAACACUCUCUUCCAAACACCCUCUAACUUCUCUGGAAAUAUGGUGUCUAGAAGUGAACACGGUAUUCCAAGAGGAGUUGGUUCAGCUAAGAUCAGAAUGAAGGAAGCUAUUUGUUAUCUGCACUCCCUAUUCCAAGAAUUUCCCAUUCCCAACUGCUCCAGGGUUUGGUGGAAAAAAGCUUAUCUCUGCUGUACACAGUGUCACCUGAUGCAGUUGGACCCAAGGCUGAAAGAUCUGCUGAUGAGGUGGCUGGCAAGUUGGUGCUGGCUGUCAGCUGGAUUUCAACAUAAGUCCUACAUGGGGACCUCAGUGCCUCCCCAUCAGAGCUUCUUGUGGGCUUCUUGGCUUCCUCACAGCAUGGCGAUUGGUUUCCAAAGGCAAGUAUCCAAAAAAGACUAGAUGAAGGAUAGACGGUGUUUUCCAACUUAGCCUCCUAAAUCACAUAGUGUCCUUGCACACUGUAUUCAUGAAAGCAAUCCUACAACUUCACUCAGAUUCAAAGAGAAGGGAAGGAACUAGACUUCACCUCUUGGUAGAGGAGUGGAAAAUUUUUAGAAGGUGUUAUGCAAUGAGAGAUAACAUUGCAGCCGUCUUCGGAAAAUAAAAUCUGUGACAGGUAUAUUAUUCUCUUCGCCUUGAAUUGUCUUUCCUCUUUGUUGUCUGAAAAACCCAGUUCAUUCCUCAAUGAUCUGUUCAGAUAUUACUUUCAUUAUGAAACAUUUUCCUAGAAAAGUAUUAAUCACUGCUCUUCUGUGUCAAC